Molecule: ribosomal RNA, 275 nt
Filed under: uncultured bacterium
Lineage: Bacteria
Description: partial 16S ribosomal RNA
Rfam family: Bacterial small subunit ribosomal RNA
Source: RNAcentral
CCUACGGGUGGCUGCAGUGGGGAAUCUUGCGCAAUGGGCGAAAGCCUGACGCAGCGACGCCGCGUGGGUGACGAAGGCCCUCGGGUUGUAAAGCCCUGUGGGGAGGAACGAACCGCUUCAUGGAUAACACCCAUGGAGCCUGACGGUACCUCCUUAGCAAGCAUCGGCUAACUCUGUGCCAGCAGCCGCGGUAAGACAGAGGAUGCGAACGUUGCUCGGAUUUACUGGGCGUAAAGCGCGCGUAGGCGGCCUGGUAAGUCGGGUGUGAAAUCCCG